Molecule: long non-coding RNA, 246 nt
Organism: Octopus sinensis (East Asian common octopus)
Lineage: Eukaryota; Metazoa; Mollusca; Cephalopoda; Octopoda; Octopodidae
Exons: 3
Source: RefSeq, a predicted model, not a curated record
ACCUGGAUUUACUAAACGAAUGCUGCACUUCCCUUAACCUGAAAAUAGAAGAAAGGCUCUCUGGUAUAGUGGUUGCGAGAUAUCUCGCCAGCCAGGGAGCGGACUUUCACCAUAAAAACAACAAAAAUAACACACCAUUGGACCUCAUUAAGGACCCAAAUUUGAGAAAAAAAUUAGAAGCAUUUUUACCACCACAAUGUUUAUUGUGCAGAAAUAAAGCGGCCACAACAAAAGUCCAUCCAUGUG